Molecule: ribosomal RNA, 267 nt
Filed under: uncultured bacterium
Lineage: Bacteria
Description: partial 16S ribosomal RNA
Rfam family: Bacterial small subunit ribosomal RNA
Source: RNAcentral
GUCCUAGCCGUAAACGUUGGGUGCUAGGUGUGGGCGGAUAUCAAACCCCGUCCGUGCCGAAGCUAACGCAUUAAGCACCCCGCCCUGGGGAGGUACGGCCGCAAGGCUAAAACUACAAAGGAAAUUGACGGGGCCCCGGCACAAGCGGCGGAGCAUGUUGCUUAAUUCGAUGCGACGCGAAGAACCUUACCUGGGCUUGACAUGCAGGGUGAAACCCGUGAAAGCGGGCGCUCUUCGGAGCCUGCACAGGUGGUGCAUGGCUGUCGU